This 464-nucleotide ribosomal RNA is filed under the name uncultured bacterium. RNAcentral's name for it is "SSU rRNA". It matches the Rfam family "Bacterial small subunit ribosomal RNA", at positions 26 to 518 of the family's 1533-position model. The record is from RNAcentral.
AGGACUAACGCUGGCGGCGUGCCUAACACAUGCAAGUCGAACGAGGUAGCAAUACCUAGUGGCAGACGGGUGAGUAACACGUAGUCAACCUUCCCGAUAGUGGGGGAUAACUAGCCGAAAGGUUAGCUAAUACCGCAUACGAUCUUCGAGUGGCAUCAUUUGAAGAUGAAAGGAGCAAUCCGCUUUCGGACGGGACUGCGUCCCAUUAGCUAGAUGGUGGGGUAAUGGCCUACCAUGGCAACGAUGGGUAGCUGGUUUGAGAGAGCGACCAGCCACACUGGGACUGAGAAACGGCCCAGACUCCUACGGGAGGCAGCAGUGAGGAAUUUUUCCGCAAUGGGCGAAAGCCUGACGGAGCGACGCCGCGUGUGGGAAGAAGGCCUUCGGGUCGUAAACCACUGUCGAAGGGGAAAAUACUGAUGGUACCCUUGGAGGAGCCCGGCUAACUACGUGCCAGCAGCCGC